AGGAGCAGUCUGACAGGGAAUGGCAGAGCCCCAUUACAUGGCACAGAGGGUGGCUGGGUUCCAGCUCGUCAGUGUAAGUCAUCAGAACUUAUCAUCUGAAUAGACUAUGUCAACAGAUCUUCCUUACAGUAGAGUACACCUGGACUGGAAAGAUGAAACAGCAAGAAUUGCCUUUUUUUGUUCUGUGGAGGAUUUACUUGCUCU
Molecule: long non-coding RNA, 204 nt
Organism: Passer montanus (Eurasian tree sparrow)
Lineage: Eukaryota; Metazoa; Chordata; Aves; Passeriformes; Passeridae
Exons: 3
Source: RefSeq, a predicted model, not a curated record